UUUUGGAGGGCAAGUCUGGUGCCAGCAGCCGCGGUAAUUCCAGCUCCAAUAGCGUAUAUUAAAGUUGUUGCAGUUAAAAAGCUCGUAGUUGAAUUUCGGGAUCAACAUGUUGGUCGUGCUUAGGUACGUACUGGCAUUAUUGAUUUCUCCCUUCUGACGAACCAUGAUGUCAUUAAUGUGGUGUCAUGGGAAUCAGGACGUAGCC
Molecule: ribosomal RNA, 205 nt
Filed under: uncultured Glomus
Lineage: Eukaryota; Fungi; Glomeromycota; Glomeromycetes; Glomerales; Glomeraceae
Description: partial 18S ribosomal RNA
Rfam family: Eukaryotic small subunit ribosomal RNA
Source: RNAcentral